Molecule: regulatory RNA element, 46 nt
Organism: Colius striatus (speckled mousebird)
Lineage: Eukaryota; Metazoa; Chordata; Aves; Coliiformes; Coliidae
Rfam family: Histone 3' UTR stem-loop
About the family: The mRNAs of metazoan histone genes lack a poly-A tail. 3' end processing occurs at a site between a highly conserved stem-loop (modelled by this family) and a purine rich region around 20 nts downstream (the histone downstream element, or HDE). The stem-loop is bound by a 31 kDa stem-loop binding protein (SLBP - also termed the histone hairpin binding protein, or HBP).
Source: Rfam
CCAAAGGCUCUUUUUAGAGCCACCCACCUUCUCAUAAAAGAGCUGU